Molecule: ribosomal RNA, 448 nt
Filed under: uncultured bacterium
Lineage: Bacteria
Description: partial 16S ribosomal RNA
Rfam family: Bacterial small subunit ribosomal RNA
Source: RNAcentral
GGACCAGACUCCUACGGGAGGCAGCAGUGGGGAAUAUUGCACAAUGGGGGGAACCCUGAUGCAGCGACGCCGCGUGGGUGAAGGAGCCCCUCGGUGCGUAAAGCCCUAUCGGCAGGGAAGAAACAGACGGUACCUGACUAAGAAGCCCCGGCUAACUACGUGCCAGCAGCCGCGGUAAUACGUAGGGGGCAAGCGUUAUCCGGAGUCACUGGGUGUAAAGGGAGCGUAGACGGCGACGCAAGUCUGGAGUGAAAGCCCGGGGCCCAACCCCGGGACUGCUCUGGAAACUGCGGCGCUGGAGUACGGGAGGGGCAGGCGGAAUUCCUAGUGUGGCGGUGAAAUGCGUAGAUAUUAGGAGGAACACCAGUGGCGAAGGCGGCCUGCUGGACGAUGACUGACGUUGAGGCUCGAAAGCGUGGGGAGCAAACAGGAUUAGAUACCCCCGUAU